UGAAACUGCGAAUGGCUCAUUAAAUCAGUCAUAAUUUAUUUGAUAGUACCUUUACCUGGAUAACCGUGGUAAUUCUAGAGCUAAUACAUGCUAAAAACCUCGACUUCGGAAGGGGUGUAUUUAUUAGAUAAAAAACCAAUGCCCUUCGGGGCUCCUUGGUGAUUCAUAAUAACUUAACGAAUCGCAUGGCCUUGCGCCGGCGAUGGUUCAUUCAAAUUUCUGCCCUAUCAACUUUCGAUGGUACAGUAGUGGUCUACCAUGGUUUUAACGGGUAACGGGGAAUUAGGGUUCUAUUCCGGAGAGGGAGCCUGAGAAACGGCUACCACAUCCAAGGAAGGCAGCAGGCGCGCAAAUUACCCAAUCCCAAUUCGGGGAGGUAGUGACAAUAAAUACUG
RNAcentral lists this ribosomal RNA (395 nucleotides) under uncultured eukaryote. Its description in RNAcentral is "SSU rRNA". It matches the Rfam family "Eukaryotic small subunit ribosomal RNA", at positions 82 to 482 of the family's 1831-position model. The record is from RNAcentral.